CCUACGGGAGGCAGCAGUGAGGAAUAUUGGUCAAUGGACGAGAGUCUGAACCAGCCAAGUAGCGUGAAGGAUGACUGCCCUAUGGGUUGUAAACUUCUUUUAUAUGGGAAUAAAACAGGGUAUGCAUACCCUCUUGUAUGUACCAUAUGAAUAAGGAUCGGCUAACUCCGUGCCAGCAGCCGCGGUAAUACGGAGGAUCCGAGCGUUAUCCGGAUUUAUUGGGUUUAAAGGGAGCGUAGGUGGAUUGUUAAGUCAGUUGUGAAAGUUUGCGGCUCAACCGUAAAAUUGCAGUUGAAACUGGCAGUCUUGAGUACAGUAGAGGUGGGCGGAAUUCGGGGUGUAGCGGUGAAAGGCUUAGAUAUCACGAAGAACUCCGAUUGCGAAGGCAGCUCACUGGACUGCAACUGACACUGAUGCUCGAAAGUGUGGGUAUCAAACAGGAUUAGAUACCCGAGUAGUC
This 460-nucleotide ribosomal RNA is filed under the name uncultured bacterium. RNAcentral's name for it is "partial 16S ribosomal RNA". It matches the Rfam family "Bacterial small subunit ribosomal RNA", at positions 338 to 795 of the family's 1533-position model. The record is from RNAcentral.